AGUGAACGCUGGCGGUAGGCCUAACACAUGCAAGUCGAACGGCAGCACAGUAAGAGCUUGCUCUUACGGGUGGCGAGUGGCGGACGGGUGAGGAAUACAUCGGAAUCUACUUUUUCGUGGGGGAUAACGUAGGGAAACUUACGCUAAUACCGCAUACGACCUACGGGUGAAAGCAGGGGAUCUUCGGACCUUGCGCGAUUGAAUGAGCCGAUGUCGGAUUAGCUAGUUGGCGGGGUAAAGGCCCACCAAGGCGACGAUCCGUAGCUGGUCUGAGAGGAUGAGCAGCCACACUGGAACUGAGACACGGUCCAGACUCAUACGGGAGGCAGCAGUGGGGAAUAUUGGACAAUGGGAGCAAGCCUGAUCCAGCCAUACCGCGUGGGUGAAGAAGGCCUUCGGGUUGUAAAGCCCUUUUGUUGGGAAAGAAAAGCAGCAGGUUAAUACCCCGCUGUUCUGACGGUACCCAAAGAAUAAGCACCGGCUAACUUCGUG
RNAcentral lists this ribosomal RNA (492 nucleotides) under uncultured bacterium. Its description in RNAcentral is "partial 16S ribosomal RNA". It matches the Rfam family "Bacterial small subunit ribosomal RNA", at positions 29 to 507 of the family's 1533-position model. The record is from RNAcentral.